RNAcentral lists this unclassified non-coding RNA (404 nucleotides) under Hevea brasiliensis (rubber tree). Lineage: Eukaryota; Viridiplantae; Streptophyta; Magnoliopsida; Malpighiales; Euphorbiaceae. The record is from RNAcentral.
CAUAAAUUAUAGCAAUGAAAAGGAAAAUAGCAUAAAAUAAAAUACCAAAUCAAAACAAUAAAUUGGUCCCUAAAUUGCUCAUAAUAAAAACUACAUUAAAGUGAACCGCAGAGUGAAGCCGUAGACCAGAGUAUGUAUAAAAAUCUCAUUAGACUAGUGACAGGCAACCCAUCUUCAUGCAACUCAAUAUAUCCAGCCUUUACCGGUCAAAAUAACACACAAGCAUAUUUCUAAUGUCAAGGUAAAAGCAAUUGCCUUUAAUUCAUAUCUACUAAACCUAAAAAAACAAAUCCACCCAUUAACAAUUUUCUCUACCGAAAAAUCUCAGAUAUGGAUUGACCAAUAAACAUAUACAAGCAAGUGAUCAUACUCUGAUCCAUUGUAUUCACUCCAGCCCAUACAAG